Cyprinus carpio (common carp) is the source of this 313-nucleotide long non-coding RNA. RefSeq lists it as uncharacterized. NCBI's taxonomy places the organism in Eukaryota, Metazoa, Chordata, Actinopteri, Cypriniformes, Cyprinidae. The record is from RefSeq and is a predicted model, not a curated record. The transcript has 3 exons.
GAAGAUAGGUCAGCCGUAUCCCUGAUCAUCCAGAGAGAUUUGAUGAGGUUCCUCAGGUUCUGAGUGUUGAGAGUCUGACUGGACGCUGUUACUGGGAGACUGAAUGGAGCAGAAAUGAUGCUGUAAUAUCAGUGACAUAUAAAGCAAUCAACAGGAAAGGAGGGAGUGAAGACUGUUGGUUUGGAUUCAAUGACAAAUCCUGGAGUCUGUACUGCACAGUUGACAGAUUCAUUGUCCAUCACAAUAAUAAUGAAACUGUUAUUCCUGCCAUCUGUUCAUCCUCUAAGAGAGUAGGAGUGUAUGUGGACGUGAC